This 789-nucleotide ribosomal RNA is filed under the name uncultured archaeon. Its description in RNAcentral is "bacterial SSU rRNA". It matches the Rfam family "Archaeal small subunit ribosomal RNA", at positions 100 to 875 of the family's 1478-position model. The record is from RNAcentral.
GUGGCUAACCUGCCCUUGGGACCCGGAUAACCCCGGGAAACUGGGGCUAAUCCGGGGCAGAUAAGGGGAUCUGGAACGACCUCUUAUCUAAAUGCCUCCCGGCUGAUCCCGUCGGGAGGUGCCCAAGGAUGGGGCUGCGGCCCAUCAGGCUGUUGGGGGAGUAAAGGUCCCCCAAACCGAUAACGGGUAGGGGCCGUGGGAGCGGGAGCCCCCAGUUGGGCACUGAGACAAGGGCCCAGGCCCUACGGGGCGCACCAGGCGCGGAACGUCCCCAAUGCGGGAAACCGUGAGGGCGUUACCCCUAGUGCCCUCGCAAGAGGGCUUUUCUCCACUUUAGAACGGUGGAGGAAUAAGCGGGGGGCAAGACUGGUGUCAGCCGCCGCGGUAAUACCAGCCCCGCGAGUGAUCGGGACGUUUAUUGGGCUUAAAGCGCCCGUAGCCGGCCUGUAAAGUCACCGUUUAAAGACCCGGGCUCAACUCGGGGAACGGCGGUGAUACUUACAGGCUAGGGGGCGGGAGAGGUCGGAGGUACUCCCGGAGUAGGGGCGAAAUCCUCAGAUCCCGGGAGGACCACCAGUGGCGAAAGCGUCCGGCUAGAACGCGCCCGACGGUGAGGGGCGAAAGCCGGGGUAGCAAAUAGGAUUAGAUACCCUAGUAGUCCCGGCUGUAAACGAUGCAGGCUAGGUGUCGCGUAGGCUUUGGGCCUACGCGGUGCCGCAGGAAAACUGGUAAGCCCGCCGCCUGGGGAGUACGGCCGCAAGGCUGAAACUUAAAGGAAUUGGCGGGGGA